AGAGUUUGAUCCUGGCUCAGAACGAACGCUGGCGGCGUGGAUAAGACAUGCAAGUCGAACGGGGCUGGUUUGGUAGCAAUACCGGGCUAGCUUAGUGGCGAACGGGUGCGUAACACGUGACCAACUUUCCCAAAAGUGGGGAAUAGCUCGCCGAAAGGCGGAUUAAUACCGCAUGUACCUCGAAGCAAUUUGAGGCAAAG
This 200-nucleotide ribosomal RNA is filed under the name uncultured bacterium. RNAcentral's name for it is "partial 16S ribosomal RNA". It matches the Rfam family "Bacterial small subunit ribosomal RNA", at positions 8 to 206 of the family's 1533-position model. The record is from RNAcentral.